This 921-nucleotide ribosomal RNA is filed under the name uncultured bacterium. Its description in RNAcentral is "bacterial SSU rRNA". It matches the Rfam family "Bacterial small subunit ribosomal RNA", at positions 475 to 1401 of the family's 1533-position model. The record is from RNAcentral.
GUACCUGACUAAGAAGCCCCGGCUAACUACGUGCCAGCAGCCGCGGUAAUACGUAGGGGGCAAGCGUUAUCCGGAUUUACUGGGUGUAAAGGGAGCGUAGGCGGACGCUUAAGUCAGUUGUGAAAGUUUGCGGCUCAACCGUAAAAUUGCAGUUGAUACUGGGUGUCUUGAGUACAGUAGAGGCAGGCGGAAUUCGUGGUGUAGCGGUGAAAUGCUUAGAUAUCACGAAGAACUCCGAUUGCGAAGGCAGCUUGCUGGACUGUAACUGACGCUGAUGCUCGAAAGUGUGGGUAUCAAACAGGAUUAGAUACCCUGGUAGUCCACACAGUAAACGAUGAAUACUCGCUGUUUGCGAUAUACAGUAAGCGGCCAAGCGAAAGCGUUAAGUAUUCCACCUGGGGAGUACGCCGGCAACGGUGAAACUCAAAGGAAUUGACGGGGGCCCGCACAAGCGGAGGAACAUGUGGUUUAAUUCGAUGAUACGCGAGGAACCUUACCCGGGCUUGAAUUGCAACUGAAUGAUGUGGAGACAUGUCAGCCGCAAGGCAGUUGUGAAGGUGCUGCAUGGUUGUCGUCAGCUCGUGCCGUGAGGUGUCGGCUUAAGUGCCAUAACGAGCGCAACCCUUAUCGAUAGUUACCAUCAGGUUAUGCUGGGGACUCUGUCGAGACUGCCGUCGUAAGAUGUGAGGAAGGUGGGGAUGACGUCAAAUCAGCACGGCCCUUACGUCCGGGGCUACACACGUGUUACAAUGGGGGGUACAGAAGGCAGCUACACGGCGACGUGAUGCUAAUCCCUAAAGCCUCUCUCAGUUCGGAUUGGAGUCUGCAACCCGACUCCAUGAAGCUGGAUUCGCUAGUAAUCGCGCAUCAGCCACGGCGCGGUGAAUACGUUCCCGGGCCUUGCACUCACCGCCCGUCAAG